AACUUACAGCAAUGUAUCUCUUGGCUCUCGCAUCGAUUAAGAACGCAGCGAAAUGCGAUAAGUAAUGUGAAUUGCAGAAUUCAGUGAAUCAUCGAAUCUUUGAACGCAUCUUGCGCUUCUUGGUAUUCCAAGGAGCAUGCCUGUUUGAGUGUCAUUAAAGUUCUCAAAACCCACAUGGUGGAAUUUUGGAUAUGGGGGUUGCAGGCUUUUUGAAGUCGGCUCCUCUGAAAUGUAUCAGUGGUAUCUGUGUGGAACUACAGGUGUGAUAAAUGAAAUCUAUGCCUCGUCUCUCACUGUGCUGCUUCUGGCGGAGUUGGAUUGACAAAUUUGACCUCAAAUCAGGUAGGACUACCCGCUGAACUUAAGCAUAUCAAUAAGCGGAGG
This 384-nucleotide unclassified non-coding RNA is filed under the name uncultured Inocybe. Its description in RNAcentral is "sequence contains ITS2". The stretch from base 1 to 154 matches the Rfam family "5.8S ribosomal RNA". Lineage: Eukaryota; Fungi; Basidiomycota; Agaricomycetes; Agaricales; Cortinariaceae. The record is from RNAcentral.